UUCUGACAGUUCUUACAUGGUCGCAGGCACGGAAGGAAAAGUUCCGUUAUAAGUUUUAAUGACUGCCAGGUCGAAACAAUUGCUUUCCGCCCGACAGAAAGGAACAAAACUGUCUAGGGUAGUGUACAGGCAACCAGGGUGAAAUUUGCAAGAUGAGUUACAGCGACAGCUUAAAGAUCCGAUGACAUCCGAUGCUUUUGUCUACCACAACGGCAAAAACGCGGCAUUUUUCUUCUUCUAUUUUUUCCUUUUAUCCAGACCAGUAUCGUAUAAACCCGUUAAUUAAAUUAUCGUCUGAUUAUCAUCGAGUGCUGAGGCUGCAAUAUCGUGAAAGAGAUCGCGCAUUAAUUCAAUAAACUUGAUGAGGAACGAUCGUGCCAAUUUACAAGGAUUAUCAAGAAUGAUGGUGUCUCUGUCUCAUUUACGACAACCGAAGGGGAUCGAAAAAUAAGAGCAUCAUAAUGUCCUCGCAUUCUUCAGCACCGGUGGACACGUUCCUCUCCCUACUUCUGCUCCUUUCUCUUUCCUGCCCUCCUCGGGGAUUUGUGUCUUUAUCAAUGCUGAUCAUCGCGCUUAAUCCUCCGCCCAAAAGUCGUUACAACACGACAUGACUCUCAUCCACAGCGUUCGAGGGCCAGACUUUGUCACGGAUCCCCGAUGUAAUUAAAUUAUAUUCUGAUUAGUUUUCGAGUAGAUACCGAUGAGUUAAUUUAUUUCGAUAAUUUCAUCGUUGCGCCGAUGUGGAAUUGUUAACAACAAAAGUAUUUUUUCUUCUCUUUUUUUUAUUAAAUAAUCAUAAAUGAGUUAAAUGGCUACAUUGUGUUGCAAAAGUGGACU
RNAcentral lists this unclassified non-coding RNA (837 nucleotides) under Bombus terrestris (buff-tailed bumblebee). Its description in RNAcentral is "misc RNA ENSBTSG00005036094.1". The record is from RNAcentral. Lineage: Eukaryota; Metazoa; Arthropoda; Insecta; Hymenoptera; Apidae.